GGAGGACUUCCCUCUCUUUUUUUCGUUUUCUGUUGAAUCCUUCUCCCUCUUUUGUCCCAAGCCCUUUCCCAAUUCCACCAUAUGCUUCAACCAAAGCACCGAAGUAUGAGUGUCUGGCCUUCCCUCGACCAAAAAUUAGGGCUUGAAAUGGUAAGCUUCUUCUCCUCUUGUUUCAAGGUUAGGAUUUAAUUUAAUUUUCAUGUAAAUUUAUAAAAAAUUUGUUAGAUUUGCUACACUUUGGGUACCAAUGGAUCCUUAUACUUCCGCAUUCCAAUGAUUUGUCACUGGCGGAAUAACUUCAUGACUUACUGUCAAAUUUGAAAAAUUUCCAGUUAAAAUAGAAAAUACAAUUACCAGAAUAUAUUAGGUUUAUCUUGGUUGAGCGUUCCCAACUACAUACCUCUUGACAUGUUUCUUCCUAAACUUUUUCAAGCACUUCGACGAUUAAAUUUCUGAAGUUGAAAAGCUUUUUAAUUUGGAAUUUGUCUAUUAUACUAUACUUUGUUUUCUCUAAGUUGUAAUUAUUUAUCUAGGGACAUGUAUGUAUCUAAUUUAUAGGUGUUGUAUGUUUUAGCAAAUCUCAGCUUAACAGAAUUUUAUUGUUAUAGCGCUAGAAUGAAAAGCCUUUCAUUCCUUGUUUAUGUGAUUUACUUUGCAUUGUUGAAGUUUUCUUCUUACUUAUUCGUUAAAUUUUUUCUUUUUCAUCGAACAUAUUAACAAUUUGUUAAAUCUUAUGUGCAGGGGCGAGGGCCUAAUAUUGAGGUUAGAUUCUUAAUAUAACUUCAAUUGAAUGACCUUUUAUGUUUAGAGUUUUUGUGUGUUUGUCCUAUAAGCUCGUUGCAGAUAAAUAUCCUUUUUAGUAAUCCUGUAUGACUUGGGAUAUGUUUAAGACAGUAAUAAUUUUAUAUAACACGAAAACUCUGGCCUAGGCAUCUUUUGCUUCUCUUUUGGAUUGACAGCUUAAUAUCAGCUAUGCCAUAUACUAUUUUGUUCUUUUCUAGGGAGAUGCGGUGGGUGGAGUGGGGUGAAGAAUAGUUAAGCUUAACUAGCAUUUUAUGGUAGAGGGGCCAAAGUCGAUUUUUUUCAACAAAUGCAUCAAAGAAGUACCAUGGCUAUUCUAGAAACUAGAACACAUGUGCUGCCACUGAAAUUUUAUAUGCACUCAUUUGGGAUCCUGGACUUCACUGUGUUAAUUCUAGAGGCUAUUUCUUUUUGGUAUUCACUAAGUAGAAAGAGAUGGUUUGGGAACACUUUUGAACUGUGCACCUAUCUCCGUUUUCCCUUAUAAUUGAAGUUGGAUGCAUAUUAAAAUGAUGGGACAUACUGAUGUUCAGAAUAAGUUAUGGUUUAUUCUUAGUGAGGAGCUAAACUGGUAAAAUUAACUAUUAGAUAUAUGUGCUAAUAUGAACUUUCUACAUUUGAAAUUUUCACUUGAAUAAGUGGACUUAAUAUUUCCUAACUGGCUAUUGAUACAUUUUUCUAAUGAAGAGGUGAUUUUCUUUACUAUAAUUGCCUUCUCUCCGCUUAAUCUUUUUUUGUAUAAAUAAUAUUUAGCAUAUUUUCAUCUUAAACUCUUAAAUGAUAUUCACUAAUCCCUUUAUCUUAAGAAUGGCGCCUACAUAUAGUAUUAUUCUGUUGAAAAGUCUCAGAGUAGCUUGUAUAUAUAUGGUAGCUCUUUCCAUAUGCAUCACUAGUACAUGUAUUCUUAUGUUGAGAUUAAUUUUUUUUGUCAUUAACAAAUAAGGAGAUUGUAUAUUUACUUUAAUUAGAGAUGAGAAAAUGUAAAAUGGUUAUAAAAUCUUUUUAUACUAGAAUAUUUUAAUGGUGAACUCUUAAUUACUCCACAGAGGGACAUGCAAGGGUAUCAACAUUCUGUAGUAGUACUACAUUUGAACUUUAAUUUUUCCUUACUCUACCAUGCAUCUUGUUCAACAAAUCUAUUGUUGCAUCCCAGUGAGACUGUUAGAUUGUUAACUCAUCUCCUUUGUAUUCCCCUACUGUUGUUAACGUUAUCCUACUUUUCCGUAGUUCCUUAAAUUGCUGAUCAAAGCAGCAUCUAGAAUUCAAUUGGAUGCAGCAUUAUGCUAAUGAGGAGCUAUUUUCUCUAACUUCAAUCAAGGUAUGUUCUCAC
RNAcentral lists this long non-coding RNA (2131 nucleotides) under Nicotiana tabacum (common tobacco). RNAcentral's name for it is "long non-coding RNA (NTAB_LNC002875)". Lineage: Eukaryota; Viridiplantae; Streptophyta; Magnoliopsida; Solanales; Solanaceae. The record is from RNAcentral.